GGGGAUGUAGCUCAGUGGUAGAGCGCUUGCCUAGCAAGCACAGGGCCCUGGGUUCGAUUCUCAGCUAUCUUCA
Molecule: non-coding RNA, 73 nt
Organism: Onychomys torridus (southern grasshopper mouse)
Lineage: Eukaryota; Metazoa; Chordata; Mammalia; Rodentia; Cricetidae
Source: the annotation of a RefSeq genome assembly